This 250-nucleotide ribosomal RNA is filed under the name uncultured Streptococcus sp. RNAcentral describes it as "partial 16S ribosomal RNA". It matches the Rfam family "Bacterial small subunit ribosomal RNA", at positions 94 to 339 of the family's 1533-position model. Lineage: Bacteria; Bacillati; Bacillota; Bacilli; Lactobacillales; Streptococcaceae. The record is from RNAcentral.
AGUUGCGAACGGGUGAGUAACGCGUAGGUAACCUGCCUGGUAGCGGGGGAUAACUAUUGGAAACGACAGCUAAUACCGCAUAACAUUGACUAUUGCAUGAUGUUGAUUUGAAAGGGGCAAAUGCUCCACUACCAGAUGGACCUGCGUUGUAUUAGCUAGUUGGUGAGGUAACGGCUCACCAAGGCGACGAUACAUAGCCGACCUGAGAGGGUGAUCGGCCACACUGGGACUGAGACACGGCCCAGACUCC